CUGGUGUCAGCCGCCGCGGUAAUACCAGCACCUCGAGUGGUCAGGAGGUUUAUUGGGCCUAAAGCAUCCGUAGCCGGUUGUUUAAGUUUUCGGUUAAAUCUAUGCGCUUAACGUAUAGGCUGCCGAAAAUACUGGACAGCUAGGGAGUGGGAGAGGUACACGGUACUCAAUAGGAAGGGGUAAAAUCCUUUGAUCUGUUGAUGACCACCUGUGGCGAAGGCGGUGUACCAGAACACGUUCGACGGUGAGGGAUGAAAGCUGGGGGAGCAAACCGGAUUAGAUACCCGGGUAGUCCCAGCUGUAAACGAUGCAAACUCGGUGAUGCAUUGGCUUGUGGCCAAUGCAGUGCCGCAGGGAAGCCGUUAAGUUUGCCGCCUGGGAAGUACGUACGCAAGUAUGAAACUUAAAGGAAUUGGCGGGGGAGCACCACAAGGGGCGAAGCCUGCGGUUCAAUUGGAGUCAACGCCAGAAAUCUUACCCGGAGCGACAGCAGAAUGAAGGUCAAGCUGAAGACUUUACCAGACAAGCU
Molecule: ribosomal RNA, 529 nt
Filed under: uncultured Nitrososphaerota archaeon
Lineage: Archaea; Thermoproteati; Nitrososphaerota
Description: bacterial SSU rRNA
Rfam family: Archaeal small subunit ribosomal RNA
Source: RNAcentral